GACGAACGCUGGCGGCGUGCCUAAUACAUGCAAGUUGAGCGAUGAAGAUUGGUGCUUGCACCAAUUUGAAGAGCAGCGAACGGGUGAGUAACGCGUGGGGAAUCUGCCUUUGAGCGGGGGACAACAUUUGGAAACGAAUGCUAAUACCGCAUAACAACUUUAAACAUAAGUUUUAAGUUUGAAAGAUGCAAUUGCAUCACUCAAAGAUGAUCCCGCGUUGUAUUAGCUAGUUGGUGAGGUAAAGGCUCACCAAGGCGAUGAUACAUAGCCGACCUGAGAGGGUGAUCGGCCACAUUGGGACUGAGACACGGCCCAAACUCCUACGGGAGGCAGCAGUAGGGAAGCUUCGGCAAUGGACGAAAGUCUGACCGAGCAACGCCGCGGGAGUGAAGAAGGGUGUCGGAUCGUAAAACUCUGUUGGUAGAGAAGAACGUUGGUGAGAGUGGAAAGCUCAUCAAGUGACGGUAACUACCCAGAAAGGGACGGCUAACUACGUG
Molecule: ribosomal RNA, 497 nt
Filed under: uncultured bacterium
Lineage: Bacteria
Description: partial 16S ribosomal RNA
Rfam family: Bacterial small subunit ribosomal RNA
Source: RNAcentral